This 23-nucleotide non-coding RNA is filed under the name Rattus norvegicus (Norway rat). Lineage: Eukaryota; Metazoa; Chordata; Mammalia; Rodentia; Muridae. The record is from RNAcentral.
UGGAAAGAAGGGCCCUGCCUCCC